CCUACGGGUGGCAGCAGUGGGGAAUAUUGGUCAAUGGGGGAAAGCCUGAUCCAGCCACGCCGCGUGAGCGAUGAAGUAUUUCGGUAUGUAAAGCUCUAUUAGCAGGGAAGAAAAUGACGGUACCUGACUAAGAAGCCACGGCUAACUACGUGCCAGAAGCCGUGGUAAUACGCAGGGGGCCAGCGUUAUCCGGAUUUGCUGGGUGUAAAGGGCGCGUAGGCGGUUCUGCAGGCCAGAUGUGAAAGCCUGGGGCCCAACCCCGGGACUGCAUUUGAAACUGGAAGGCUGGAGUGUCGGAGAGGUAGGCGGAAUGCGUAGUGUAGCGGUGAAAUGCGUAGAUAUUAGGCAGAACACCGGUUGCGAAGGCAGCCUGCUGGACGAUGACUGACGUUGAGGCUCGAAAGCGUGGGGAGCGAACAGGAUUAGAUACCCGAGUAGUC
This 440-nucleotide ribosomal RNA is filed under the name uncultured bacterium. RNAcentral describes it as "partial 16S ribosomal RNA". It matches the Rfam family "Bacterial small subunit ribosomal RNA", at positions 338 to 795 of the family's 1533-position model. The record is from RNAcentral.